Non-coding RNA from Lactuca sativa (garden lettuce), 4222 nucleotides. Lineage: Eukaryota; Viridiplantae; Streptophyta; Magnoliopsida; Asterales; Asteraceae. The record is from RefSeq and is a predicted model, not a curated record.
UGACAGAUUUGAAGAUGCACAUCAAGCGCUUGAUGAAAUGCUUCAAAAAAUCGGUCUUUCUGUACUUCCAUUUCAGUAGGAGAGGAGUUCCUGGUGUAAGAAAAAUUGGUCUACUUUCUGACAGGGAGCUGCUGUAAGUCCAUUACUUUUAGUAAAUUACGCUUCUGGUCCCUGUGAUAUAUCCGUUUAUUUUUGUUCUAGGGUUUUAUGUCAUUUGCUUUGGAGAAACUGUAUAACUAUAACACAAACCAUAUAACCAUGAGGAAACUAGAUGUAAUACUUGGGAUAUAUAGUGUACAGAUCUUCCUCAACCAACAUGUUAUUUCAAAGCAUUGACUAAUCCGUUAAACUCUAAAAUGUUUAAUAGAUUAUCAUGUCACCAUUCUAAUUUCCUUAUAAUUUUACCAUUAAAUUCCUACUUUCUUGCAAGGCAAGUGAACACCUGUCUCUUUUCAAGUUCUUUUCGGGAUCUCCAGCUGGAUUUUAACCGGGUUAUGGUCGGAAAUUCCAAAUAUGCCCUUUUGAAAAGCACAAGUGUUACUAACCGCUUUUUAAGAUUAUUUACGUAAACCAAUAGCAACCGGAUUAACCACUUAUCGUGGGAAAUUAUAUGUUCCUCAAUGCUUAUAUUGUUGGCCUUUUUUUUGUUGAUGUUGUUGGUGAAGUUUAUGAUCCGGAAUUUAAUUCCUGGGUUGAUAUGCCGGUUGGAAUGGGAGAAGGGUGGCCCAUGAAACAAACCGGGACUGAAUUAAGUGUGAUUGUUGAUAAUGAUCUUUAUGCUUUGGAUCCAUCAAGUUCUUUAGAAAGUGCUAGAAUUAAAGUUUAUGAUCAUGUUGAAGAUUCUUGGAAAGUGGUUGAAGGUGACGUUCUGAUUCGUGUGGCUGAGAUUGAAAUAAUGAUAGCUGAACCUAAAAGGUACAGGCUCUGUUGUCUUAAUCCCAUUUUAAGUUUGUUGUCUAAGUAAAUGAUGUUUAUCCAUUUCUUUCAUUUUCUUCCAUGUCCAUUGUCAUACCGAUAGGCCCGUUCAGUUUCAGGUUUCAAACCUCUAUUCAAAUAACUUGCUUUUAACCUUCAAAUGUGUAUAAGGACCUGAUGAAUUUCUUUUGAAAUUCAAGGAAUGUGUUUGAUUGCAGGAAACAAAACAUAAAAGAGCAAGAAUUCUGUUUGGGGUUCAAUGGUAGUGAAAUCACAACUGUCGGUGGGGGGGGGGGGGGGGGGGGGGCUACUGGUGGAGAUCCAUCGACUAUGAUACAUUGCAUCUGGAAGAUGAAUACAAGUUGCUAGAAAAAGCCAAAGGAAAAAAACGUAUCGAAGGUGGUCCAGCAAGGAGAAUAUAAUCAGUCACCAAGUGAGGUGGGAUGAAGGCGAAGGUUGAUUAGCUUCUUCAUACUUGGGUGCCUUGCUAUGCGACGCCUUAUAAAAUGUAUCGGGUCAUCCGAAGAUCAUACACGGAUAUUAAGUCAUCUGACAUUCUGUUAGAUGGUAGCUUUGAUGCCCAGGUAUCUUACUAACCUUUCGAACCAUAGUUUGCAAAAUAUAGUUUUCCUUUUUUCUGCAUUUCUACAAUAACAAUGAUUUGUUUGCAACAAACAGAAAACCAUAUAGAGUAAUUCAAGUCUUUUUGAAAUGCAUAUUUAUAUUUGUGAGAUUGGCACUCACUUAGGUGGCAGAUUUUGGGCUUGCAAAGUUAGCAAUGUACACUAAUACGCAUGUCACAAUGUGUGUAAUGGGAACCUUUGGGUAAGUCUAUGACUAUAUAAUGUCUUCUGACUAUUCUUUUUUGGACAUUAUAAUGUCUUCUUUUCUUUUGGGAACCUUUGGGUAAGUCUACGACUAUGACUAUCUUUUUUUGGACAUUAUAAUGUCCUCUUUUGUUUUAUUUUGUUAUGUUUAAAUUUAUUUAUUUUUUGAAAAAUUCUAGAUAUAUGGCUAUACUUGAGGCGGGAAGUUGACUAAAAAGUCUGAUUUUUUUUUCUCAUUCGGGGUAGUGUAGCUACAAGUAGCCACCGGACGUAAACAUGUGAUUCUGGGGAUUUUGUCGUUUCCUUUGCCAUUUCGAACCCCGCAACGCGGGGUUUCUUCUCUAGUUAUAAAUAAUAAAAUCAAAUUACAUGGAUAUGUCAUAUUAUCCAUGCAAGUCUCUUUUGAAAUGCAAAUUGUCUAUCUUAUCACUGUAACAUCCCGAAAUAGCAAAGAGUAUAGUUGAAGGGCUAAAAGAGUAAAAUUGGAAGGGGAACUCGGCGAGUCCAUGGGUGGACUCGGCGAGUAGAGUCGCGAAUUGGUCGCGUGUUAAGUGACCGACUCGGCGAGUCAGUAAGGUGGACUCGGCGAGUAGGCGCUGAGUGGAGAAAACCCUAAUUCUCGGGGUUGAGCCCUAUAUAAAGAACAUAACAUUCAUUCCCCUAACCUCUUUACUCAUCCUCAAGUCCAGAAACCCUUAGCCUUCGUGUGUGAGUGAUCAUAUUGCAUUGGGAAGCUUGGAGAAGCAAUUGUUGAGGAAAUCUUGAAGGGUAGGAGGCUUGGAGCAAGGGGCUUUGCUUGGAUUCGAGUUCCAUUGCAGUUGGGGCGUUCUUUUGAGGUAAUAUCUCAUCCUUGGGCUGUUAUUCUUAUGGAUUCAUCAUUAUGGGGUUUGUGGGGAGCUUUUCUUUUGGUGUUUUGGAGUUUAGAGGUUAGAUCUGAGGUUGCUACCUCAGAUCUGGAAUGGAGAAGGGUUGAAAUGCCUGAAAGUCCCUGUGUUUGAGUGUGUAGUGAAGCUAUCAUGUCCCAAACCCUAGCCCUAAAGUGUUAAAGGCCUAGAUCUCUUUGGAUUCACGUAAAGUUUACCACUUUACGUGAUGGAUGGGUUGUAGGAGGCUAGAUCUAUGUUUUGGAUCAAUUGCAUGGCCUGGAGUGCUUCUGUAUGGAUUCAGACCGGUGGUACUCGGCGAGUCACAUGGGUGGACUCGACGAGUUGCUUGAAGAUGAGCUGGAACUCGACGAGUUGGAAGAACAACUCGGCGAGUAGGUUGAAGAUAACCUUAGACUCGACGAGUCUGUUCUUGGACUCGGCGAGUCUUGUCAAAGAGUCCCAAUAUUUUCUGGUCGAGUCGAGAAUCGGUGAGUCAAGGGAUGACUCGGUGAGUUGUGUGCAGGUGGAAUCAGAGUUGUUGGACUCGGCGAGUCUUGGGGUGACUCGGCGAUUUAGGUCGCGGAUUGAGGGAAGUCCUGAGCUUGGGGACUCGGCGAGUCAUCGGGUUGACUCGGCGAGUAGAGUCAAUCAGGGGUUGACUUUGACCUUGUCCAAGGGUUGACCAAUUGUCUUUCGGGGGUAUUUUGGUAAUUAAGGGUAUUUAUUGAGUUGAGUGUUUUGGUGUUCAGUGGAGGAGUUCGUGUCGGAGUUUGGAGCAGCGGGAUCUUAUCCUUUUCAGCUGGCAGUUUCGAGGUGAGUUAUCCUCACUAUAUCAACAGGGUCUAAGGCACCAAGGCCGGCCCUUAUCGGAUUGAGAUCUGGGUAGUUGUUGUUAUGUUACUGCUUUGAUAUGUUUGCAUCCUGAGAGCUAGGAUGGUAUAUGUUAGAGACCUGAUUAAGAUCGGUAUCUUGAGAGAUAGGGAGAUGCUAUGCUGGUGACCUGUUAGGUCGGUAUCCUGGUUAGGCCCCAAGAGGGCGGACCAGACGUGCCGAGGCUCGGAGAGUGGACCAGGCCGACUGAAGGCCCGGUGCGGACGAACCAGUCAUACUGUAGACUCAGAGAGUGGACCAGGUGGAUUAAAGGCCCGGUGCGGGCGGACCAAUCACACUGCAGACUCGAUGUAUGUGGUUAGAUUUGGAGAGUGGACCAGGUGGAUUGAAGGCCCGGUGCGGGCGGACCAAUCACACUGUAGACUCGAGGUUUAUGGCUAGACUCAGAGGGUGGACCAGGUGGACUGUAGGCCGGUGCGGCAGACCAAUCACACAGUAGACCCGAAGUGCAUGGCUGUUCUGUGAUCAGAUAUGUUGUGGCAUGUUAUGCAUGUAUGGUAUAAGUGGUUGGUAUUUUGGGGAUAUCUCACUAAGCUUUCGGGCUUACAGUUGUGGUUUUAUGUUUUUCAGGUUCUUCAAGAGACCGUGGCAAGGCGAAGGCGUGAUCGUAUUGCUCCUCAUGAUUUUGUAGUAAUGUGAUUCUAGGAAUACGCUAAAUGUUUUGUAUUGAAAACCUUUUUGUAAUGAUUUAAUGGAAUCGAGUUGUUUUUGAAAAAUUUAAAA